AAGGCUGCAGUCUCCCGAGGGGAUUCAGAAAGCCCCCAGUUAUUGAAAACCCAGCAGAACUGUCAGCCCCGCACCCCCAAGCCCUCUUGGAGGGAGGGUUGCCCUGGCAGAGCACUGAGCCCAUCUGUUUAUUCACCAUCCUGUGGAUUCAGCUUCACAGGGUGACAUAUUCUGUCACAGGUGGUUCCACGAGUGUUUGGGCGCAUGGUGGGUAAAAGCCGGGAGGCGGUGGCCCAGGCCAUGGUGCUGGAGAUGUUUCGAGAGGAGGACUACUACAACGAUGAUGUUCUGGACCAGAUGGGCGCCAGUAUCCUGGGCGUGGAGGGCCCCCGGCGCCACCCAGAUGAGCCCCCUGAGGAUGAAGUCUUCGAGCUCUUCCCCAUGUUCAUAGGGGGGCUUCUCUCUGCCCACAACCGAGCUGUGCUAGCUCAGCUUGGCUGCCCCAUCAAGAACCUGGAUGCCCUGGAGAAUGCCCAGGCCAUCAAGAAGAAGCUGGGCAAGCUGGGUCGGCAGGUGCUGCCCCCCUCGGAGCUCCUUGACCACCUCUUCUUCCACUAUGAGUUCCAGAACCAGCGCUUCUCCGCCGAGGUGCUCAGCUCCCUGCGUCAGCUCAACCUGGCAGGUGUGCGCAUGACGCCUGUCAAGUGCACAGUGGUGGCAGCUGUGCUGGGCAGCGGAAGGCAUGC
This 686-nucleotide small RNA is filed under the name Pongo abelii (Sumatran orangutan). Its description in RNAcentral is "processed transcript". The record is from RNAcentral. Lineage: Eukaryota; Metazoa; Chordata; Mammalia; Primates; Hominidae.